UCUAUGGAGAGUUUGAUCCUGGCUCAGGACGAACGCUGGCGGCGUGCUUCAUACAUGCAAGUCGAGCGAGGCUCCUCCUUCGGGAGGAUGCCCUAGCGGCGAACGGGUGAGUAACACGUGGGCAACCUGCCCCUAGCACUGGGAUAACCCCGGGAAACCGGAGCUAAUACCAGAUACGACCACGGACGGCAUCGCCUCGUGGUGGA
Molecule: ribosomal RNA, 206 nt
Filed under: Geodermatophilaceae bacterium
Lineage: Bacteria; Bacillati; Actinomycetota; Actinomycetes; Geodermatophilales; Geodermatophilaceae
Description: partial 16S ribosomal RNA
Rfam family: Bacterial small subunit ribosomal RNA
Source: RNAcentral